RNAcentral lists this ribosomal RNA (248 nucleotides) under uncultured bacterium. RNAcentral's name for it is "partial 16S ribosomal RNA". It matches the Rfam family "Bacterial small subunit ribosomal RNA", at positions 91 to 334 of the family's 1533-position model. The record is from RNAcentral.
CGGCACGGCGCACGGGUGCGUAACACGUGGGUAACCUGCCCUCCAAAGGGGGAUAACCCCGCGAAAGCGGGGCUAAUACCGCAUGACAUUCCGAAGACUUCGGUAUUUGGAAUCAAAGCCCGCAAGGGCGUUGGGGGAGGGGCCCGCGGCCGAUUAGCUUGUUGGCGAGGUAACGGCUCACCAAGGCAAUGAUCGGUAGCCGGUCUGAGAGGAUGGCCGGCCACACUGGAACUGAGACACGGGUCCAG